Long non-coding RNA from Colias croceus (clouded yellow), 646 nucleotides. RefSeq lists it as uncharacterized. The record is from RefSeq and is a predicted model, not a curated record. The transcript is spliced from 2 exons. Lineage: Eukaryota; Metazoa; Arthropoda; Insecta; Lepidoptera; Pieridae.
CGUACAAGUGAAUGUUUCCAGUAUAAAAAAUAUUUCUCUAUGCCUUAAACAUUUAUAAUUCAAAUCGACACGACUCCGAGACAGGAAAUACAGACUAAAACCGUAGACAGAGUAACUAAUAGACCCAAUGACGAUACCUUUCUCACUUACACAAGAAAGAGAGCGAAAAUACCAUAACAAAUGCAUAAGACAAAGACACAAAUACCCAAUUUUUUGUCCCUUAGUGUGUAACCUGUUUUUCAAGAUCCGCAACUUGAGUUGCGAAACAAACUUUGACAGUUCGUGCCUUCAUCGUGCUUGGUGUUCGAAUUUUGGAUAUUAUUUAGUAAAAAAUCGAUACGAGUACAUUGAAAAGACGGUGAAAUUAUCUUAAUAUAGACAUCGAAGUAAAUAGAAUGGUGCGUUGUCGUGUUAUUGCAUGUAUAAGCGAUAGUGAGAAGAAAAUUGCCGGUGUGUCUUUUCACGCAUGAUCCAGACCUACGUAAUUAAUGGAUCGAAGUGGUAGAAAAGAUUGGAUUCUCACAAAAUAUUGUAAAAUAUGAACAAGCCAAUGAAAAAGUAAGAAAUGUGUUUCGUCAUCAAUAAUCAAUCUGCUUAUAUUUUUUGUAUCUACUAAAUUGAUUAUAAAGACAAAAGAAAAAUCUCA